UUAUAACCAGUUUAAUGUUGA
This 21-nucleotide non-coding RNA is filed under the name Caenorhabditis elegans. The record is from RNAcentral. Lineage: Eukaryota; Metazoa; Nematoda; Chromadorea; Rhabditida; Rhabditidae.